RNAcentral lists this ribosomal RNA (482 nucleotides) under uncultured bacterium. RNAcentral's name for it is "partial 16S ribosomal RNA". It matches the Rfam family "Bacterial small subunit ribosomal RNA", at positions 30 to 507 of the family's 1533-position model. The record is from RNAcentral.
AUUGAACGCUGGCGGCAUGCCUUACACAUGCAAGUCGAACGGUAACAGGUCUUCGGAUGCUGACGAGUGGCGAACAGGUGAGUAAUACAUCGGAACGUGCCCAGACGUGGGGGAUAACGAGGCGAAAGCUUUGCUAAUACCGCAUACGAUCUAAGGAUGAAAGCAGGGGACCGCAAGGCCUUGUGCGUUUGGAGCGGCCGAUGGCAGAUUAGGUAGUUGGUGGGAUAAAAGCUUACCAAGCCGACGAUCUGUAGCUGGUCUGAGAGGACGACCAGCCACACUGGGACUGAGACACGGCCCAGACUCCUACGGGAGGCAGCAGUGGGGAAUUUUGGACAAUGGGCGAAAGCCUGAUCCAGCAAUGCCGCGUGCAGGAUGAAGGCCUUCGGGUUGUAAACUGCUUUUGUACGGAACGAAAAGGCUCUGGCUAAUACCUGGGGCACAUGACGGUACCGUAAGAAUAAGCACCGGCUAACUACGUG